This 750-nucleotide ribosomal RNA is filed under the name uncultured bacterium. RNAcentral's name for it is "bacterial SSU rRNA". It matches the Rfam family "Bacterial small subunit ribosomal RNA", at positions 88 to 855 of the family's 1533-position model. The record is from RNAcentral.
GGAAAUAGUGGCGAACGGGUGAUAACACUAGUAACCUACCCCUAAGUAGGGGAUAACUCGGAGAAAUCGGAGCUAAUACCGUAUGUGGUGUUGGGGGUAAUGCCUCAUCCUAAAGCCUUCGGGCGCUUGGGGAGGGGCUUGUGUCCGAUUAGCUAGUUGGUAGAGUAACGGUUUACCAAGGCGAUGAUCGGUAGCUGGUCUGAGAGGAUGAUCAGCCACACUGGGACUGAGACACGGCCAGACUCCUACGGGAGGCAGCAGCAAGGAAUAUUGUGCAAUGGGUGAAAGCACUGACACAGCGACGCCGCGUGGGGGAUGAAGACUUUCGGGUCGUAAACCCCUUUUCUCAGGGAGGAAUAAUGACAGUACCUGAGGAAUAAGCCAUGGCUAACUACGUGUCAGCAGCCGCGGUAAUACGUAGGUGGCGAGCGUUAUCCGGAUUUAUUGGGCGUAAAGAGGGCGCAGGCGGCUUUCCAAGUCGGAUGUAAAAUCUCCCAGCUUAACUGGGAGGGACCAUUCGAUACUGUUAAGCUAGAGGGCAGCAAGGGGAGGUAGAAUUCCCGGUGUAGUGGUGAAAUGCGUAGAUAUCGGGAGGAAUACCAGUGGCGAAGGCGGCCUCCUGGGCUGUUACUGACGCACAAGCCCGAAGGCGUGGGGAGCAAACAGGAUUAGAUACCCUGGUCGUCCCGCUGUAAAUGAUGGACCACUUAGGUAUUAGGGAGAUCAACCCCUCUUCUGUCUCGAAACUAA